AUAGCGUAUAUUAAAGUUGUUGCAGUUGAAAAGUUCGUAGUUGGAUUUCUGGGUUUGGGUGUUGGUUCGCCGCAAGGUGUAUACUGACACUGGAGCCCAUCCUCUCGAAGACGAGGCGUGCUCUUAACCGGGUGCGUCGUGGACUCGAGACUUUUACUUUGAAAAAAUUAGAGUGUUCAAAGCAGGCUUACGCUUGAAUACUUCAGCAUGGAAUAAUGGAAUAGGACUUUGGUUUUAUUUUGUUGGUUUCUAAGACCGAAGUAAUGAUUAAUAGGGACAGUUGGGGGCAUUAGUAUUUAAUUGUCAGAGGUGAAAUUCUUGGAUUUAUGAAAGACUAACUUCUG
This 344-nucleotide ribosomal RNA is filed under the name uncultured eukaryote. RNAcentral's name for it is "SSU rRNA". It matches the Rfam family "Eukaryotic small subunit ribosomal RNA", at positions 594 to 945 of the family's 1831-position model. The record is from RNAcentral.